AUACGUAGGGUGCGAGCGUUGUCCGGAAUUACUGGGCGUAAAGAGCUCGUAGGUGGUUUGUCGCGUCGUCUGUGAAAUUCCGGGGCUUAACUCCGGGCGUGCAGGCGAUACGGGCAUAACUUGAGCACUGUAGGGGAGACUGGACUUCAUGGUGUAGCGGUGAAAUGGGCAGUUAUCAGGAGGAACACCGGUGGCGAAGGCGGAGCUCUGGGGUGGCCCGGAGGCGGAGGUUCGAAAGCAUGGGUUGCGAACAGAAUUAUAUCCCUGGGUAGUCCAGGUCGUAAACGGUGUUCACUGGUUGUAGGGGUCUACCAUGCUUUGUGUGCCGUAGCUAAAGCAAUAAGCGCCACGCCUUGGGAGUACGGUCGCAAGGCUAAAGCUGAAAGGAGUUGACGGGU
Molecule: ribosomal RNA, 398 nt
Filed under: uncultured bacterium
Lineage: Bacteria
Description: partial 16S ribosomal RNA
Rfam family: Bacterial small subunit ribosomal RNA
Source: RNAcentral